This 359-nucleotide ribosomal RNA is filed under the name uncultured bacterium. RNAcentral describes it as "bacterial SSU rRNA". It matches the Rfam family "Bacterial small subunit ribosomal RNA", at positions 8 to 353 of the family's 1533-position model. The record is from RNAcentral.
AGAGUUUGAUCAUGGCUCAGGGUGAACGCUAGCUACAGGCUUAACACAUGCAAGUCGGAGGGGAAACGACAUCGAAAGCUUGUCUUUUGAGUGGGCGUCGACCGGCGUACGGGUGAGUAACGCGUAUCCAACCUGCCCACCACUUGGGGAUAACCUUGCGAAAGUAAGACUAAUACCCAAUGAUAUCUCUAGAAGACAUCUGAAAGAGAUUAAAGAUUUAUCGGUGAUGGAUGGGGAUGCGUCUGAUUAGCUUGUUGGCGGGGUAACGGCCCACCAAGGCAACGAUCAGUAGGGGUUCUGAGAGGAAGGUCCCCCACAUUGGAACUGAGACACGGUCCAAACUCCUACGGGAGGCAGCA